GAGGUUAAGCGACUAAGCGUACACGGUGGAUGCCCUGGCAGUCAGAGGCGAUGAAGGACGUGCUAAUCUGCGAUAAGCGCCGGUAAGGUGAUAUGAACCGUUAUAACCGGCGAUUUCCGAAUGGGGAAACCCAGUGUGACUCGUCACACUAUCAUUAACUGAAUCCAUAGGUUAAUGAGGCGAACCGGGGGAACUGAAACAUCUAAGUACCCCGAGGAAAAGAAAUCAACCGAGAUUCCCCCAGUAGCGGCGAGCGAACGGGGAGGAGCCCAGAGCCUGAAUCAGCAUGUGUGUUAGUGGAAGCGUCUGGAAAGGCGCGCGAUACAGGGUGACAGCCCCGUACACAAAAGCGCAUGUGCUGUGAGCUCGAUGAGUAGGGCGGGACACGUGGUAUCCUGUCUGAAUAUGGGGGGACCAUCCUCCAAGGCUAAAUACUCCUGACUGACCGAUAGUGAACCAGUACCGUGAGGGAAAGGCGAAAAGAACCCCGGCGAGGGGAGUGAAAAAGAACCUGAAACCGUGUACGUACAAGCAGUGGGAGCACCCUUU
This 549-nucleotide ribosomal RNA is filed under the name Salmonella enterica. Its description in RNAcentral is "partial 23S ribosomal RNA". It matches the Rfam family "Bacterial large subunit ribosomal RNA", at positions 1 to 587 of the family's 2925-position model. Lineage: Bacteria; Pseudomonadati; Pseudomonadota; Gammaproteobacteria; Enterobacterales; Enterobacteriaceae. The record is from RNAcentral.